This 1140-nucleotide ribosomal RNA is filed under the name Triticum aestivum (bread wheat). Its description in RNAcentral is "partial small subunit ribosomal RNA". Lineage: Eukaryota; Viridiplantae; Streptophyta; Magnoliopsida; Poales; Poaceae. The record is from RNAcentral.
AUGGUAUUGUCUCAUGUACGAUCACUCAAUGUGUUCGGUUAUUCCAUGGAAAUCCCUCCUCUGAGUGAGUUUGGGCAUUUGCGUGUUUUGGACCUUGAGCUUUGCAACCAAGUGGAAAACCACCAUCUAGCAAAUAUUGGGAGGUUGUUUCAGUUGAGGCAUCUCAACCUCAAAUGGACAGAAGUAAGUGAACUCCCAAAAGAAAUCAGCCAUCUACGUUGCUUAGAGAUGCUAGACAUAAGAGGCACUCAAUUACAAGAUUUACCAUCAACUAUUGUGAACCUCGAAAGAUUGGUGGAUGUGCUUCAUGAAAGUAGUGUUAAGUUUCCAAAUGGAAUUGAGAAGAUGCAAGCAUUAGAGAUGUUGGGAGAGGUCAAUGUCUAUAGGCAGCCAUUUAACUUCCCUCAAGAACUUGGACAGCUGCAGAACCUGAGGAAGCUGGUCCUCAAUUUUGAAGGUGCUUCCAUCUCUGUACAGGAACAUGAAGAGGAACAGUGCAAUAAAUCUAUUGCUUCUGCUCUUCGCAAACUAGGCACUCAAAACAUUCGUUCUCUAACUACUGUUUGUGGGGGGCGCUUCUUACAACAGGGAUCUUUGUGCCCUGUUCCGUUUAGCCUCCAGGAAUUCAUUAUGACCAAGGGCUCGCAUGUGGAGCAGGUUCCGGAAUGGGUGAGUUCCCUUCUAAACCUCCAGCUGUUGCGCCUAGAAGUGAACAAAUUCACGCAGGAAGAUCUACGGGUCCUUGGAAGCUUACCGGAGUUGCUCAUUCUGGAAGUGGUCGGAAUGGGAAAGUAUAGCGAUACAAGUUUCACAGUUAGCGAUAAAGUUGGGUUCCGAUGCUUGAGGAAGUUCUCUUUGGAAUCAUGUAAAUGGAUGUUUUUUGAAGCAAGAUCCAUGCCUAAGCUAGAAAAACUCGAAAUUGGAAUUUGGAGGUCCGGUUAUGACACUGCUAGUGGAAUUUGGAGGCCCGGUUACUGGAAAUUCGGAAUGGGAAAUCUCCCGUGCCUCCUUAGUCUCAAAUUUGCAACAUAUGGCUGGGACUGGGAUGAUGGCAGUCUUGCAGCUGCACAGGAUGCUAUGGAGAGAGCAGCUGGUAGACAUCCCAACCGGCCUACUCUCAUCUUUCAAAAAAUCUGCUGA